Ipomoea triloba (trilobed morning glory) is the source of this 965-nucleotide long non-coding RNA. RefSeq lists it as uncharacterized. The record is from RefSeq and is a predicted model, not a curated record. NCBI's taxonomy places the organism in Eukaryota, Viridiplantae, Streptophyta, Magnoliopsida, Solanales, Convolvulaceae. The transcript has 2 exons.
CCUCUUCCCCUCUCCCUUGGUCGACGGUGAAGAUGGAGGUGACCGGCGGUGGUGGCUUCCCCUCUCUUCCUCCUUCUUUCUCGUCGAUGGCAGUAGCUGACCAGCGAAGCCACCAACAACAGCAGGUAUUGGAGACGACAACAACAGCAGCUCUGGCUUCCCAACUUCAACGAUCAUCGGCAACUUGACCAGUUCCGGUGACCCUGGUUCACCCGACAACAACAGCAAGGAGAUCCGGGAACCUCUAGUUUUCUCCGGCCAUAGCAGCGGCAAAACCUUCGGCUUCCUUUUUGUUUCGGCGACAAAGCUUGACCAUUGGUUGGAUCUCUAGUUCUUCUCGGCGAACUUGACCACAGCUUCCACCAGCGACCUCUGUUUCAACCGGCAACUUCUCCACGACCCAACGAUUUACUCCUGAGCAGGAUGGUUUUCUCCUCUCACUCGCUUGGCAGUUCAACCGGCAACAACAGCAGCUCUAGCACCUCCCGCCCUUCUCCACCGCCCAACGUAGCGAGCAACCACUGCUGCUCAACCACGACAUCUCCUAAUCAAAUUAAGUUGAAUAAUCAUGGAAAAUUUCUAGACUAUGAUGCCCUAACAGAGUGUUUUUCUCUCUCAGGUUGUUGGAGAAUCUAAGAAGAAAGAGGAGUAUUUGUGCUUCCCGGGACAUUAUUGUGCUUGUUAUUCUUUCUUUUACGACGUCGUGAAUAGAGGGGAGCAACUAUGUUGUAAGCAUCAACUGGCUGCAAAACUUGCCAAGUCUUUGGGAGCUUGCAUUGAAGUUAUGGUGUCCGAUGAAGAGCUCGCGGUGAUGCUCUCCCAUCUUUGAUAGUUUGCACUCUGAAUUUUGUAUUUCAUACUGGAAUGAUGAAGUGAGGUGCAAUGCGUAAAUGAGCUGGCUGCAUUUCUAUGUCACACUUGAAUGAUCACUAUAGCACCUAUAUAUGCAUGUAUGAAUUAUAAUU